RNAcentral lists this unclassified non-coding RNA (397 nucleotides) under Athalia rosae (coleseed sawfly). RNAcentral's name for it is "misc RNA ENSAEAG00005003746.1". The record is from RNAcentral. Lineage: Eukaryota; Metazoa; Arthropoda; Insecta; Hymenoptera; Athaliidae.
GUACGGUACACGACGCAACGACUCGUGUUCACUUUUUACUCGCAAUCGCCAGUUUCCACGGUACGCCUGUUACGCGCGGUACGGCUUUUCGUACGGUUUUAUCAUCGGCGUUGACUACUGGACAGCGCUACACCGAAUCAAAACAAAACCUGACAAUAAUCACAUCCGGCCGAAUCCGACCGUCCACGAACGGUACCCCAGGCUUUCCCGAUCAAAGAGAAGGAGUGAAAUCCCCUCCGGCUUCUGGAAUUCGUUCACCCGGCCCUCGACCGACGUCCGAAAAUUUGGCGGAAGAAAUUGAGUUUCCCUUCCAUCGCCCUUCGUGCACCCCCGAUUCAGCGUCGGUCGAGAUUCCUGGCGCACCUGGCUGCGGGUACCUUCCCGUGUUCGAACUUUG